GCCCCCAUCGUCUAGCGGCCUAGGACGUCGCCCUUUCACGGCGGUAGCACGGGUUCGAAUCCCGUUGGGGGUGC
This 74-nucleotide transfer RNA is filed under the name Nocardioides kribbensis. RNAcentral describes it as "tRNA-Glu". It matches the Rfam family "tRNA". From Rfam's summary of the family: Transfer RNA (tRNA) molecules are approximately 80 nucleotides in length. Their secondary structure includes four short double-helical elements and three loops (D, anti-codon, and T loops). The record is from RNAcentral. Lineage: Bacteria; Bacillati; Actinomycetota; Actinomycetes; Propionibacteriales; Nocardioidaceae. RNAcentral also lists the same sequence under 9 other names.